UACGAAGGGGGCUAGCGUUGUUCGGAAUUACUGGGCGUAAAGGGCGCGUAGGCGGCGUGUCAAGUCAGGUGUGAAAGCCCCGGGCUCAACCUGGGAACCGCGCUUGAGACUGGCAUGCUCGAGUUCGGGAGAGGAUGGUGGAAUUCCCAGUGUAGAGGUGAAAUUCGUAGAUAUUGGGAAGAACACCGAUGGCGAAGGCAGCCAUCUGGACCGACACUGACGCUGAGGCGCGAAAGCGUGGGGAGCAAACAGG
This 253-nucleotide ribosomal RNA is filed under the name uncultured bacterium. RNAcentral describes it as "partial 16S ribosomal RNA". It matches the Rfam family "Bacterial small subunit ribosomal RNA", at positions 524 to 776 of the family's 1533-position model. The record is from RNAcentral.